RNAcentral lists this transfer RNA (68 nucleotides) under Eurysternus inflexus. Its description in RNAcentral is "tRNA-Leu". Lineage: Eukaryota; Metazoa; Arthropoda; Insecta; Coleoptera; Scarabaeidae. The record is from RNAcentral.
AUUACUUUGGCAGAUUAGUGCUUUAAAUUUAGAAUUUAAGUAAAUAUUAAUUAAUAAUAUAGGUAAUA